GAAAUCUUUUUUUACGCGCGUUUCGCCGUUGUCGCCGCGCCUCGUGGGUUUCCUAGCGCGCGCCUAAACUCCUCGCGAAAAUCGCCUCGUUAUUUAUACCGGCGGGGCAAAAUUGUGUGGGAAAAAAAAAAAAAACCGCGCGCGCGCUAUUGUUGUCUGGCACGGCGGUAAUUAUGUCGAGGCGAAAAAACCGACCGAAAACCACGUGUGUAGGCGGCCGUUUUUUAACCGCCGACUCUUCUUCGUUCGUCUCGUUUCUUUGUGUCGUACGCGGUACUUUUUUUUUCUCAUUUACCGUACAAGUUCACGCCCAUA
Cinara cedri is the source of this 315-nucleotide non-coding RNA. NCBI's taxonomy places the organism in Eukaryota, Metazoa, Arthropoda, Insecta, Hemiptera, Aphididae. The record is from the annotation of a GenBank genome assembly.